Molecule: transfer RNA, 83 nt
Organism: Coniophora puteana RWD-64-598 SS2
Lineage: Eukaryota; Fungi; Basidiomycota; Agaricomycetes; Boletales; Coniophoraceae
Rfam family: tRNA
About the family: Transfer RNA (tRNA) molecules are approximately 80 nucleotides in length.
Source: Rfam
GCCCGCCUAGCUCAAUCGGCCAGAGCGUCAGACUUUUAAGACUAGAGAUCUGAAGGCUGCGAGUUCGACCCUCGCGGUGGGCU